RNAcentral lists this ribosomal RNA (479 nucleotides) under uncultured bacterium. Its description in RNAcentral is "partial 16S ribosomal RNA". It matches the Rfam family "Bacterial small subunit ribosomal RNA", at positions 28 to 507 of the family's 1533-position model. The record is from RNAcentral.
GAUGAACGCUGGCGGCGUGCUUAACACAUGCAAGUCGAACGAAGCACCUUGAUUUGAUUCUUCGGAUGAAGAUCUUGGUGACUGAGUGGCGGACGGGUGAGUAACGCGUGGGUAACCUGCCUCAUACAGGGGGAUAACAGUUAGAAAUGACUGCUAAUACCGCAUAAGACCACAGCACCGCAUGGUGCAGGGGUAAAAACUCCGGUGGUAUGAGAUGGACCCGCGUCUGAUUAGGUAGUUGGUGGGGUAACGGCCUACCAAGCCGACGAUCAGUAGCCGAGAUGAGAGGGGGACCGCCGACAUUGGGACAGAGACACGGCGCAAACACCUAUGGGAGGCAGCAGUGGGGAAUAUAGCACAAUGGGGGAGACACUGAGGCGGCGAGGCCGCGUGAGCGAUGAAGUAUUUCGGUAUGUAAAGCUCUAUCAGCAGGGAAGAAAAUGACGGUACCUGACGAAGAAGCACCGGCUAAAUACGUG